CAGGACGAACGCUGGCGGCGUGCUUAACACAUGCAAGUCGAACGCUGAAGCUUGGGUGCUUGCAUCUGGGUGGAUGAGUGGCGAACGGGUGAGUAAUACGUGAGUAACCUGCCCUUGACUCUGGGAUAAGCCUGGGAAACUGGGUCUAAUACUGGAUACUACAUUCUCUCGCAUGGGGGGGUGUGGAAAGGGUUUUACUGGUCUUGGAUGGGCUCACGGCCUAUCAGCUUGUUGGUGGGGUAAUGGCCUACCAAGGCGACGACGGGUAGCCGGCCUGAGAGGGUGACCGGCCACACUGGGACUGAGACACGGCCCAGACUCCUACGGGAGGCAGCAGUGGGGAAUAUUGCACAAUGGGCGAAAGCCUGAUGCAGCGACGCCGCGUGAGGGAUGACGGCCUUCGGGUUGUAAACCUCUUUCAGCACGGAAGAAGCGAAAGUGACGGUACGUGCAGAAGAAGCGCCGGCUAACUACGUGCCAGCAGCCGCGGUAAUACGUAGGGCGCAAGCGUUGUCCGGAAUUAUUGGGCGUAAAGAGCUCGUAGGCGGUUUGUCGCGUCUGCUGUGAAAGCCCGGGGCUCAACCCCGUGGUGUGCAGUGGGUACGGGCAGACUAGAGUGCAGUAGGGGAGACUGGAAUUCCUGGUGUAGCGGUGAAAUGCGCAGAUAUCAGGAGGAACACCGAUGGCGAAGGCAGGUCUCUGGGCUGUUACUGACGCUGAGGAGCGAAAGCAUGGGGAGCGAACAGGAUUAGAUACCCUGGUAGUCCAUGCCGUAAACGUUGGGCACUAGGUGUGGGGGACAUUCCACGUUUUCCGCGCCGUAGCUAACGCAUUAAGUGCCCCGCCUGGGGA
This 852-nucleotide ribosomal RNA is filed under the name Kocuria sp. KLBMP 1301. RNAcentral's name for it is "bacterial SSU rRNA". It matches the Rfam family "Bacterial small subunit ribosomal RNA", at positions 25 to 879 of the family's 1533-position model. Lineage: Bacteria; Bacillati; Actinomycetota; Actinomycetes; Micrococcales; Micrococcaceae. The record is from RNAcentral.